RNAcentral lists this ribosomal RNA (253 nucleotides) under uncultured prokaryote. RNAcentral describes it as "partial 16S ribosomal RNA". It matches the Rfam family "Bacterial small subunit ribosomal RNA", at positions 525 to 777 of the family's 1533-position model. The record is from RNAcentral.
ACGUAGGUUCCGAGCGUUAUCCGGAUUUACUGGGCGUAAAGCGCGUUCAGGCGGUUUGGCAAGUCGGGCAUGAAAUCCUUCGGCUCAACCGGGGGAGGUUGUCCGAUACUGCUAAACUGGAGGGCAGUAGAGGGUGGUGGAAUUCCGGGUGUAGUGGUGAAAUGCGUAGAGAUCCGGAGGAACACCAGUGGCGAAAGCGGCCACCUGGACUGUACCUGACGCUGAAACGCGAAAGCUAGGGGAGCGAACGGGA